UACGAAGGUGGCAAGCGUUACUCGGAUUUACUAGGCGUAAAGGGCAGGUAGGCGGUUUGAUAAGUCUGCUGUGUAAGCUCCCGGCUUAACUGGGAGAGGUCAGCGGAAACUGUCAGGCUUGAGUAUGGGAGAGGGUACUGGAAUUCCUGGUGUAGCGGUGAAAUGCGCAGAUAUCAGGAGGAACACCAAUGGCGAAAGCAGGUACCUGGACCAUUACUGACACUCAACUGCGAAAGCUAGGGGAGCAAACAGG
This 253-nucleotide ribosomal RNA is filed under the name uncultured bacterium. Its description in RNAcentral is "partial 16S ribosomal RNA". It matches the Rfam family "Bacterial small subunit ribosomal RNA", at positions 524 to 776 of the family's 1533-position model. The record is from RNAcentral.